Molecule: ribosomal RNA, 497 nt
Filed under: uncultured bacterium
Lineage: Bacteria
Description: partial 16S ribosomal RNA
Rfam family: Bacterial small subunit ribosomal RNA
Source: RNAcentral
GAUGAACGCUGGCGGCGUGCCUAAUACAUGCAAGUCGAGCGAACAGAUAAGGAGCUUGCUCCUUUGACGUUAGCGGCGGACGGGUGAGUAACACGUGGGUAACCUACCUAUAAGACUGGGAUAACUUCGGGAAACCGGAGCUAAUACCGGAUAACAUUUGGAACCGCAUGGUUCCAAAGUGAAAGAUGGUUUUGCUAUCACUUAUAGAUGGACCCGCGCCGUAUUAGCUAGUUGGUAAGGUAACGGCUUACCAAGGCGACGAUACGUAGCCGACCUGAGAGGGUGAUCGGCCACACUGGAACUGAGACACGGUCCAGACUCCUACGGGAGGCAGCAGUAGGGAAUCUUCCGCAAUGGGCGAAAGCCUGACGGAGCAACGCCGCGUGAGUGAUGAAGGGUUUCGGCUCGUAAAACUCUGUUAUUAGGGAAGAACAAACGUGUAAGUAACUGUGCACGUCUUGACGGUACCUAAUCAGAAAGCCACGGCUAACUACGUG